CCACGCCUCCCAGGGCUCCGCCGCGCCAGCUAGAGGCCACAAGCCCCCUUCUCUGUUGAGAAGAGUAGAAGGGUGGAAGGCGGAGGCGAUGGCUGCGGGAAGGGGGCGGGGGAUAUGGAGGUUCGUUCUCAAGCGGGCGGCAUGAAGGAAGUAUCUCUGCUCCACAGCCGUCACUGCCAUGGUCUCGAGAUCUGUUUGUCCAGCACGAGCAGCCAUAUCCGGGUGGUCUGAUUCGAGUCAAUGGUCUAGAGCUUGAUUCAUUAAUCCAAUUCAUUGCAUCAGAAUAGGAUGCGGCCAAUCGCGGACCGCUCGCCUGCAUCGGCCAGGGCGCUCGCAUGCGUCGAGCAGCCAGCCUUCGGCUAUGAAGUUGCUCUGCUCCUCGCGAUGUGCUUGAUUUGGCCGCCGCUACCCCACUUCGUCCGGAUACGGCACCACAGCGCCGGCGCCACGACUGGGAAUGGAAGGGCGUCGGCCGAUCUAGGGUGGUGUGGCCCUGUGCUGUCCCAGGUGAAGGAAUCGCUGGCUGCAUCGUGACCUCCAGCCUGAUGAGUGAUGAUUCUGCCAUUAAAAACAACCUGGUUACAUUGGUCUGACGGGCUAAUCCAUUUUCCAAAGCGUAUGCUCAUUGGUUUUGUAUACCUGAUCAAUUUGCUACCUGAUCAGUGAUGUGUAUGACCUAUAAAAGCUUAUAAAAAACCAGCUGCAUAUGCCAGAUGAGCGGACUGGUACCAACAUGGAAAUGUGGAGUAUAAAACUCACGAUGCUUUAUAAGUGCUUCA
This is a long non-coding RNA of Lolium perenne, 779 nucleotides long. RefSeq lists it as uncharacterized. Lineage: Eukaryota; Viridiplantae; Streptophyta; Magnoliopsida; Poales; Poaceae. The record is from RefSeq and is a predicted model, not a curated record.